CUGCAAACAAGAUCACUAGCCCAGUAUGUUAUUGCUGAAGCAAGGGGAACAUGUUUGCUACAGUAAGAAGUGGAUGUAGAAGCACUUAGCCUAUAAAAUGCCACUGGGCCACAACUUCUAUACCCACUCACAU
Molecule: small nucleolar RNA, 133 nt
Organism: Xenopus tropicalis (tropical clawed frog)
Lineage: Eukaryota; Metazoa; Chordata; Amphibia; Anura; Pipidae
Source: Ensembl